Molecule: ribosomal RNA, 253 nt
Filed under: uncultured bacterium
Lineage: Bacteria
Description: partial 16S ribosomal RNA
Rfam family: Bacterial small subunit ribosomal RNA
Source: RNAcentral
UACGUAGGGGGCUAGCGUUGUCCGGAUUUAUUGGGCGUAAAGAGCGUGUAGGCGGCCUGGUAGGUCUGCUGUGAAAACUCGAGGCUCAACCUCGAGAUGUCGGCGGAAACCAUCUGGCUAGAGUCCGGAAGAGGAGAGUGGAAUUCCUGGUGUAGCGGUGAAAUGCGCAGAUAUCAGGAAGAACACCAAUGGCGAAGGCAGCUCUCUGGGACGGUACUGACGCUGAGACGCGAAAGCGUGGGGAGCGAACAGG